RNAcentral lists this long non-coding RNA (4490 nucleotides) under Salvia miltiorrhiza (redroot sage). RNAcentral describes it as "long non-coding RNA (SMIL_LNC006957)". The record is from RNAcentral. Lineage: Eukaryota; Viridiplantae; Streptophyta; Magnoliopsida; Lamiales; Lamiaceae.
CUUGUUUCUAGAAACAUCAAACAAGUUGAAGUCCGCACGUCCCAAACUCGCCGGAAUGGGGCCGGAGAGCUGAUUACGGGACAGGUAGAAAUAGAUUUGCUUCGCCUUCAAGUCCCCGAACGAUUCAGGAAUGCCGCCGGUGAGGUUGUUCCGGUCUAACAGCAGGCCGCUGAGCUUCGGCAGCUGAGAGAGCGACGGAGGAAUCGAACCGGUGAGGCCGUUGCGCGACAGUCCGAUGUAGGUGAGCUUUUUGAGGCUUCCAAGGAAAGUGGGACGGGGCCGGUGAGAAGUUCUGCCUGAGAUCGAGGAAGUCGAGCUGCGAGAGCUUGGAAAUGGCUUGUGGGAUAACGCCGGUGGCGUUGCAGUUGUGGAUGGCGAGGUUUUGGAGGUAGGGGAGGUCGCCGACGGCGGCCGGGAUGGGGAGGUGGAGGUUGGCCUUGGAGAGGUCAAAUUGGGUAAUGCGGUUGGUUUUGUCAUCGCAUUUCACGCCGUACCAGUCUUCGCAGCAGUCCGUUUUGGAACUCCAGGUGAUGAUGUCAUACGGGUUUUUCAGGUCUUUCUUGAUUUGGAGGAGGGCUUUUUUGUCAUUUGCGUUGCACCUCUCCGAGAGUGUGAGAGACGAGAGGGAGAGAAUGAGGAGAGCCAAAAUGGGAAGAAUACAAGUCAUUGGUUUGUCCAAUUAUGGAUAUUGGGAUAGAGAUGUGCGAUCUGUUGGGGCUGCUUUAUAAGGAAAUGUGAGGCUCGUUCUUAUUACCCAACUUCGGAUUGCAAUGGUCGGCCAAUUCAAAUUCUAGCUUAAUCUUUGAAUAUGACUGUAAAUGAGUCGAGCCGAAUACUAAUAGGCUGGAGCUCGAUUCUUUUAAAUAUUUGAGUGUUUGAGUUUGACUAGAGCUCGAUUCUAGCUUCGAUUUUGUUAAGUGAACUCGGCUUGUCACCCAGCUACCGAACUUCUAUCUAAAUAAAUUUCUCAUAAUAAUUCAAAUCCCUUAUCUAUUAGUUAGAAGAAAUGUGUCAUAUCGACUAAGCUACAAGGUAUUUAAUAUAAGAAGAGUGUAAAAUCCAUAAUAAAAACCAAAAAUCGAAAACUAAUUGUUGGAGGAUAGUGUCUUAUCAAGUGUGAAGUAGUAUUUGAUUUAUGAAGAGUUUAAAUUUGAGAGUAAGAAAUCCAUAAUAAAAACUAAAAAUCUUAAACUAAUUUUAUGAGCCUUCAAAUUACAUAUUGUGAGAUCAUCAAAUAUACAUUAGCCGCCUAUAUAUGGCGUAGUGAAGUACAGAUUGUGAAUUGGGAGCAGCACUUGAAAAAUAUAAUUACCCAAGUUGUUGCUACUAAUGAGAGUCGCAGCACUUUGGAUGAAAGGACUCAUUAUUGUAUCCACAACUUUGGAUAAUAUACGUUUCAUCCAAUAUUGAAUCAUGAAAUGUGGGGCAUUCGUCCCAAAAGUAGAGCAUGCUCUUGUCGGAGCUAUUUGUCUCAUCAUAUGAUCACUUUCCUAUCCAAGGAUAAAUUAAUUACACAUUUUCGUAUUUAAUAGCUCUAACUAGCUAAUCAUUUUACUUAAUAAUAAAUAACUUCAACAAAUUUUUAUGAAUAAAUUAUUUUAUUUUUUAUGAAAUAUAAUAAGAAUUAAAUAGAAAAAGAAAAGAAAAUAAAAUAUAAAACAUCAAAGUUAAAACUAAAUAAGAAAUUAAAAUUUGAACACCUCCAUCGGUGAUGUCGGAUCAGCUCGUCUGUUAGCAUCAGAGGGUGGCAAUGGGAAUUGGGAUAAGAGAGUCUUUUUUUCCCUUGUUAAUCUUUUUAUUUAGUUUUUUUUUGUUGGAAUUAAACAUUUUAUAAAAAUAUAUUUAGGAUUUCACAUUUUAAAUUAUUUUAAUAUUUGUCUCUUUUCAUUAAUGUGGUAAUAAUAAUACAUCACUACAUCAGAAAUUGAAAAAUAAAAAUAUUGUCGCGUUUGGUGUGGUUUAAGAGACAGAUGAGAUAUAUGUCACGUUUAUUUCAUUAAAGGUUCAGAUGGACGUCACAAUUCAAAUAUCACCGAGCAAUAACCUUGUCAGCCUUGCUUGCAUUUUCUUUCAUAUUUUAAAUUUUUUUCAAGCUAUAUAUCACGUUUUAUUUUAUUUAACUACAUCGUGUCAUUUAUGUUCUUGUUAAUUAUUACAUCCAUCUCAAUUCAAUAGAUCACAUUUUUUUCAUUUGAAUAUUUGAACGUUUCAUUUUAACAAAUGACUCUUAAUUAACAAGAACAUAAAUGAUAAGGGCUCUUAAUUAUAUUCUCUCUCCUACUUUAUUACUUUAAUUAUAUUAUUUCUCAUACUUUAUCACUUUUAUACUACACAUUUAAAACACUAAUCUACAACUCCUUAAUUUUCUUGUCAAAAAGAAAUGACUCAAGAUUCGUGGGACGGAGGGAGUAUAUUUUAAAACAAUAAUGCUACUUUAUAUCGUAUUUUAUUAUAAACUAUUUAUUUUUAACAUUUGUGCCUUGAACUUAUGAUCCGUUAAAUUGAGAGUCUUAGUUGAGAUUUCUUUGAUUUUUUUUUUUUUUGGAUAAAUCUAUAGUAUUAAAUUAGAAUGGAUAAAAUAUAAUAUAUGAAAUCACACUUGCAGCAGUUAUUUUUGUCCAAAUUCUUCUUCUCUCCUUCAUAUUUUCUCUGUUAUUUCUCUAUCUUACACGCUUUCUUACUUGAUGUAUGUAACAUGCUAACUUUUUUUCAUCUCUCUUAUUUUCUUUUCUCCUUUCCCUGUUCUAAAUCUUUUUUAAAAAAAACUAAUAAAUUAAUACUACUACAUUUCUACUUUUAUUUAUAAUAGUAGGAUCCACAAAAUCUACCAACAAUAAUAAUGAUAUCCAAACUCUACUCACUACUAUCAAAUAUUAUCCACUAUUUUUAAAAAUUCGUGUCAUCCACAGGGUGGAGACGAUAUCGUGGACGGAUGGAGUAUGAAAUUGAAAUGAAAAAAAAUUAUAUCUUUCAUAUUUUCUCCGUCAAUUACUCUUAUCUUAGACGCUUUCUUACUUCAUGUAUGUGACAUGGUAACAUUUUUUCAUCAAAGUUUUAAGUAACCGAUAAAUUAACAAUAAAUUUAAAGAUGGCUUUGAUCAAAACAUUAAUCACUUGACUCGUAAAAAAGUUCGGAUUUUUUGAAAGUGGGAUCACCCUGGUCCCUGGAUAUCUCUAACCACCGAAAAUUCAACAUAUCGCUGGCCCUUUAUCAAAUAUCCAAAAUACAAAGUUAAUUUCAUUAAGAAUACAACAUAUUCCAAGAAUUGAGCAAUUUGUACUACAUCAUAUCUUAUUCGAUUAAUAACAUAUGUAAGCAUAAACAAUAAUAUAGUACUCCCUCCGUCCCUAAAAUAACUUCCUCUUUUUCCAUUUUGGGACGUCCCCCAAAUAACUUCCUCUUUCUUUCUUUCCAUUUUUGGAAACCUACCCCACCACUAAUAAUACUUUAUUUAUUCUUACUUUUCACUUUUCACCACUCCCAAUACUAUAACACUUCUCACAACUUCCAAUAAUAAUUAUAUCACUUUUUCUCCACUAUCAAUACACUUUACAACUUUUUAUUAAAACCCGUGCCGUCCCCAAAGAGGAAGCCAUUUCAGGAACGGAGGGAGUAUUAAAUUAGAGAAAAAUCAUUUGCAUUCUGGCAAAGGACUACCGCACAAACACCUGUUGUGAAAAUAGGCCGUAUAAUCGAAGUCCUGCAGCCUGCCGCCGACGGGAAUCCGACCACACAGCCUGUUGUAACUCACAUUCAGCGAAAUCCUAUCAAACUCAGCCAAACCCACGGGCAAGCUCCCAAAAAUCUUGUUAUGGUUCAAAUCCAAGUUCUGCAAAUUCCCCGGAAACUCCACCUUGGAAAAAUCGAACUGCAACAAGUUCCUCGAAAAGUCAGCAGUGUUCAAACUCUUGUUUUUCCCGAACAUGAAGGAUAUGUCUCCUUCCAGCUUGUUUCUAGAAACAUCGAGCAAACUGAAGUUGGUAUAUCCCAAGCUUCUCGGAAUCGGGCCGGAUAGCUGAUUGUGCGACAUGUACAGAUAGAAAUCCUGCACCUUAAAAUAUCCGAACGAUUCAGGAAUGCCGCCGGUGAGGUUGUUCCGGUCCAACAGCAGGCCGCCGAGCUCCGGCAGCUGAGAGAGCGACGGCGGAAUCGAACCGGUCAGGCUGUUGCGCGAGAGUCCGAUGUAUGUGAGUUUUUUGAGGUUUCCGAGGAAAGAUGGGACGGGGCCGGUGAGAAGAUUCUGUCUGAGAUCGAGGAAGUUGAGGUGCGAGAGUUUGGAGAAGGCUUGUGGGAUUUGGCCGGUGGCGUUGCAGUUGUGGAUGGCUAGGUCUUGGAGGUAGGGGAGUUCGCCGAUGGCGGCCGGAAUCGGGAGGUGGAGGUUGGCCUGUGCGAGGACAAAUUCGAUGAUUCGGUUGGUCUUGUCGUCGCACUUGACGCCAUACCAGUGUCGGCAGCAGUCUGUUUUGGGAUUCCAAUUGGUGAUGUCGAG